Molecule: microRNA precursor, 172 nt
Filed under: Medicago truncatula (barrel medic)
Lineage: Eukaryota; Viridiplantae; Streptophyta; Magnoliopsida; Fabales; Fabaceae
Description: MIR2619 microRNA precursor family
Rfam family: MIR2619 microRNA precursor family
Source: Rfam by way of RNAcentral
AAACCGCCCCUUAAGUUUUGCAACUGUAGCAGUUUUGGCCCCCCAAGGCCAAUUAUUGGAAAGAAAAAAAAAACAUGGCACCUCACUUAAGGUGCCACGUCAGCGUAGAUCGAGUCAAAAUUGGCCCCUCGGGGCCCAAAACUGCACAGAUGCAAAACUUAUAGGGUAGUUU